Molecule: ribosomal RNA, 414 nt
Filed under: uncultured eukaryote
Lineage: Eukaryota
Description: bacterial SSU rRNA
Rfam family: Eukaryotic small subunit ribosomal RNA
Source: RNAcentral
CAAUAGCGUAUAUUAAAGUUGUUGCAGUUAAAAGCUCGUAGUUGGAUUUCGGAACCGGCCGAUUGGUCCGUCCUCUGGAUCGUGUACUGAUCGGUCUGUUCUUCUUCGCGAAGACCGCGUGUGCCCUUAACUGGGUGGGCGCGGGAUUCGCGACGUUUACUUUGAAAAAUUAGAGUGUUCAAAGCAGGCAUUCGCUUGAAUAUCUCAGCAUGGAAUAAUAGAAUAGGACUUUGGUCCCAUUUUGUUGGUUUCUAGGGCCGAAGUAAUGAUUAAGAGGGACAAUUGGGGGCAUCCGUAUUUCGUUGUCAGAGGUGAAAUUCUUGGAUUUACGAAAGACGAACAACUGCGAAAGCACUUGCCAAGAGUGUUUUCAUUAAUCAAGAACGAAAGUUAGAGGAUCGAAGAUGAUUAGAU